RNAcentral lists this ribosomal RNA (253 nucleotides) under uncultured bacterium. RNAcentral describes it as "partial 16S ribosomal RNA". It matches the Rfam family "Bacterial small subunit ribosomal RNA", at positions 524 to 776 of the family's 1533-position model. The record is from RNAcentral.
UACGUAGGUGGCAAGCGAUACUCGGAAUCACUAGGCGUAAAGCGCAGGUAGGCGGUUUGGUAAGUCUUUUGUGAAAGCUCCCGGCUCAACUGGGAGAGGUCAAAGGAAACUACUAGGCUAGAGUGUGGUAGGGGAUACUGGAAUUCCUGGUGUAGCGGUGAAAUGCGUGGAUAUCAGGAGGAAUACCUAUGGCGAAAGCAGGUAUCUGGGCCAUCACUGACGCUGAGCUGCGAAAGCUAGGGGAGCAAACAGG